This 458-nucleotide ribosomal RNA is filed under the name Sporormiella africana. Its description in RNAcentral is "eukaryotic LSU rRNA". It matches the Rfam family "Eukaryotic large subunit ribosomal RNA", at positions 72 to 534 of the family's 3401-position model. Lineage: Eukaryota; Fungi; Ascomycota; Dothideomycetes; Pleosporales; Sporormiaceae. The record is from RNAcentral.
GGAUUGCCCUAGUAACGGCGAGUGAAGCGGCAACAGCUCAAAUUUGAAAUCUGGCUCUUUCAGGGUCCGAGUUGUAAUUUGUAGAGGGUGCUUUGGAGUUGACUGUGGUCUAAGUUCCUUGGAACAGGACGUCGCAGAGGGUGAGAAUCCCGUAUGUGGCCGCCAGUGUUCGCCGUGUAAAGCCCCUUCGACGAGUCGAGUUGUUUGGGAAUGCAGCUCUAAAUGGGAGGUAAAUUUCUUCUAAAGCUAAAUAUUGGCCAGAGACCGAUAGCGCACAAGUAGAGUGAUCGAAAGAUGAAAAGCACUUUGGAAAGAGAGUCAAAAAGCACGUGAAAUUGUUGAAAGGGAAGCGCUUGCAGCCAGACUUGCCUGUAGUUGCUCAUCCGGGCUUUUGCCCGGUGCACUCUUCUAUAGGCAGGCCAGCAUCAGUCCUGGCGGUCGGAUAAAUGCCUGCUGAA